AAUAAAGUAAGCUAAAAAAGCUAGUGGGUUCAUACCCCAAAUAUGAAUUUAAAUUCCUUUAUUA
This 64-nucleotide transfer RNA is filed under the name Dermacentor albipictus. Its description in RNAcentral is "partial tRNA-Met". Lineage: Eukaryota; Metazoa; Arthropoda; Arachnida; Ixodida; Ixodidae. The record is from RNAcentral.